This 26431-nucleotide long non-coding RNA is filed under the name Brachypodium distachyon (stiff brome). RNAcentral's name for it is "long non-coding RNA (BDIS_LNC003949)". The stretch from base 16775 to 16910 matches the Rfam family "MIR1120/MIR1122 microRNA precursor family". Lineage: Eukaryota; Viridiplantae; Streptophyta; Magnoliopsida; Poales; Poaceae. The record is from RNAcentral.
CCCCCCCCCCCGGUCAUAGCAUGCCGCGUAGCCAUUCGCCGCAUCGCCGGCCGCAGCACCGCCCGCGGUCGUAAACAGCCCAUCGCACCGCCGGAUGCCGGUCCCAGCACCGCCCGCCGUCGUAAACAGCCCAUCGCGCUGCCGGACGCCGGUCACAGCAGAGUCGACUGCUGUUUGCAGCAGCCUCGUUGCAGCAGCUUCGCCGGUGCUCUUCCAUGGUGACGAGGAAAGGCAGGGAACAUGGGAUUGGGAAGGCAACUUCACGACUCGAAGAGAUAGGAACGAAGUCCGUGGAGGAGAGCAGAAGGGGAACGUGGGUGGGACCCACAUGCGCUGGCUUUUCCUUUUAUUCGUCACGAAAGGAAGGCCAGGCGUCGUGUGCGGAAGGAGGCCGAUCACGCAGAUGGAUCGGUCGGUUGAAAACAAUCAUUUUCCUUACUUAAUUUAGUGCAACUUUAGGGAGUAAAGUUUUUUUUUUGAAAAAAGACACUACGUGAUGUAAAAAUUAAAAAAGUUACUCACUCCAUUCACAAAUACAAGAAGUUUAGUUUUGUAGUAAGUCAAAUUUCUUAAAUUUCGAUCAGGUUUACAAAAAUCUACCGACAUUUAGGACUUUAUAUUAGUUAGUUAAGCAAUCAUGAUAUAUAUUUUUGUAAUAUAUUUAUUUGAUAUUUCUAGAUGUUGAUACAAUUUUCUAUAUAUUUGAGUAAAUUUUAAUUUUUUUGACUUGAGACAAAAUUAGAACUUCUUGUAUUGUAUUUAGGAACCUAGGUGGUACUAGUCAUGGAGCACUAAAAUAAAAAUGUCGGUUUGAUUUGUCACUUGUCUUUCUUGUUUCACAAGCUGUUGGUAAAUUUUGAUUUGCCACUUCUGAUAAGGUAGAUAAUCUACAAUGGCAUGGUGCUACUAUAGUGUAGUCAUAAGAAUCUCAACAUAAGGUCAUUUUUUUUCCUAUUCUAUCUCCCUCUUUUAAGUUGCCCCCCCCUCCCUUAAAAAAAUGCAUUUCUUUUUUAGGACACCUCAAAGGGGCAUGGAGUUCAUGCAUUUCAUUAUAUAAGAAAUAGAGGUGUCCAAUUAAUUAGGGGAAAACGGGCAAAAACAAGAUACAAGACGACGAAGCCCCAAACAGUCAACAGAAGGACCGUAACGACAAACAAACACUCCUACACACCAACACACCAUCGGAUGCGACCGAAGAAGAUCCCCGCCACAUUUAAGAACACAUCACUCCUCUACGGAGCAAGUCAGAUCUGGCAUGACUCACCAGAGAGGGGCCAAAGAACUUCGACAGGCUCCAAAAGAGCAGGGAUGAGCUUCGGCAGAGCACCGCACCACCACACCGCACUCCACCGCUCUUAGAAGAGGAGAGAAACCAAAACCGCAAAAAAGGAGCCGGUCUGGGCCGCCCCGACGCAGGUGGAAGUGGGGCGCGCCUCAAGAACCCAACAUUUUACAUCGCAUCUUACCGUCCGACGAACGCUGCCCGCUGCCGUCCCGACAUCCAGAACCCAACUACACCAGGGCAGCAACCGCCUUCACCCCCUUCCGAGAUCGCCGCCUCGACUCCUCUGCUUGCCUGAGACAAAUCUGAGCCCCAAAACAGCAGAUCGACUACCAGACAACCACAGGCACGUCGUGAGACCGUCCUCCCGGCAUCCACCGCUACAGCCACGCCGGCCCGAAGCCUGCGAGCCAAAGCCACACGCACGGGGAAGGAAGAUAGCGACUGUUUUCUAGCGCGUCUAAAAAUAUUGUCUGUAAAUUUACAUAUACGAUGAAACAAAAUAACACUGCUUUUCUUCUACGCGGCAUCCGAAAGUAAUAGACAUAAACACCAAUGCAAAUAUAGUAAACAACUGUGAAUAGCACUGUGCACGAACAUAUUUUUCUUUAAGAAGGCGUACGACCACUGGCUUCUGGCAGGGCGUAUGAACAGUAGAUGAAUUGAUGGCACCCUGUAAACAGUAUUUACACAGACACGUUGCCCGCUGACGCUGCCUACACGAGCCAGAACCCAGAAAGGCGACGGGCCGGCGCGGCCGUGGACCCACCUGUGGUCUAGUCGAAGGGCAUUACAGUAACUUCCCCUCGACAUGACCCUACAGAACUCCGCCGUCGACGACGCAUGCUCAACGCUCUUCCAGUCUUGCGCAAGACCACCAAAGUCCAGACUCUCCCUAAUUUAACGCACACGGCACACCCUCCUCGUGCGGCUUUCCCGUUCCCGGGCGAGAGCGGUUUAUUCACGCCCCCCGAACCCCAGCCCCACCAACCCACGCCAUUGCCCCUCUCCACUCCCAAAACCCUCGUUUCGUUCCUGCUUCUCGCCGCACGCUACCUCAUCCCAGCGGCGAUUCCUCGUCUCCCUGCGCGACGGCCGGGAACGCCCGAUUCCGAUCGUAGACGGGCACGCGUUCGUCGUGAGGUAAUUUCUUUUUUGUUUCCGUUUCUAUUUUUGUUUCCGUUUUGGGUACGACGGACGGACGGACGGACGGGCUGGCGUUUGAGUACGCGGGAAAAUCGCGAGCUUUGUGGGUUUGCGCGAUGGUUUUGGGUCGGGGAGAGUUCGUCUUUUAGGUUUAUGCCAUCGAUUCCGCCGUUUCCGUUCCGCAUGCAGCGGCGAUGCUGCUUGUUGUGUUUGUUUAGAAGAUGAACAGCUAUUUGGUUAUGGAGAUUUAAACAGGGGUGUCAAUGACGUGUCAUUACCAGUUGCAUUUAAGGAGGACGGUUUCGCCCUAUCAAUGUAGGCAAAGUUCAGCGGUUUUCCUUUCUAUUUCACCUCUCCAUUUCAUUAUGGAUUAUUUCCAAUUAAUUCGGGGUUGAAAUUUUUAGCAACCAAGGCCUCUCCCAAUGCAUCUCCCAACCGACACAUCUCCAAUGCAUUGUCUGUUAUGUUAUUGUUGUAUCUAAAGUAGUUGUUAAUAGUUUUCUGAGAGAGAUUGAAUGUCUUUGUGUUGGCUUACGUGAGACACUAGCUAGUACUCCCUCAGACACUAGCUAGUAUAAGAGACGGUCUCUUAAUUUCCCCUCAUUAUUAAUUAAGUGUAAUAUAGACAAAAUGUUGACAUGGACGCUUAGGGCAUCAUCAACAAGCCAUUACUUAGGCUGGUACUAAGAAGAGAGAGAAUGGACAAUAUUAGAUAUACUCCCUCCGUCCAACAAAAGAUGUCUCAACUUUGACUAAAUUUGAAUGCAUCUAUACGCUAAGUCAUGUCUAGAUACAUCUAAAUUUUGACAAACUUAAGACAUCUUUUAUUGGAUGGCGGGAGUAGUAACAACCUCUCCAACAAGUGGUUUCUUAACCUUGUUACUAACACCUCAAAAGUAUAUAUAAUAUAUUGUAGUUGGUCCCACAAAAGCAUGAUAUAAGUAACAACCCCUGCUCUAAUAGUACUUUAGUUGUUACUUACGUCUUGGUAUGCGUGUAGUACUAGUUUCUCUAGGGAGAAACCACUACUUCUUUUCUCCUCUACUUUAUACGGCCACAUCAUCAAAUUUUGACAUGUCAUCAUAUUAGUACCGGCUGACUCACCUUAUUGGAGAUGCCCUUAGGAGAUGGCACUAUGUAGGAGCAUUGGGAGAGGAUUAAGUGUGAUUUCCCUUUGAUGGUGUAUAAAGGCCACAGAUUUCAGGCCAUUCUUCUCAUGGAGCCCCCAGUUCUACUAAUUUGUCCGAAAAAACAACAGUUUUACAGUCAAUAUGUACCAACGAGCCCAAAGCAACUAGUUUAGGCCGUGGCCGUCUAACAGUUUUUCUUACAGUUAGGCCCCACCUCUGUUGGACCCCCACGCGACCCUGAAUCUAUUCCCCUUUCCUCUUCUUCCCAUGACGAGCAUCCCGAGCAGGCACGCGCACCCGCCGUAGACGAGGCAGACGAGCAGGAAGAAGAAGAAGACGGUGUUCUCCUCACCACCACCAACCGGUCUCACUGUCUCCCACUCGACCACAUCCCCCAAAACUCCACAAAAAUCUCCGCUCCAAGUCCCCUCCCUAGGAGGCAGCAACAGAUGUGCCCGCGCCACGCUGCCACUACCAAGCCAAACAUCACCACCACACCUGCACCCCAGUCCGCUCAAACUCCACAAGAAAAAGUCUCCAGUCCCCUUUGUCGCCGACGCCCGCACCGGCCACGCCACCCCCCCCCAUGGCGUCCACCAUCUCGCUCCUCCUCGUCCCCUCACCCGCUCCACUGCACAGCUCCAUCCCUCCUCAAACCCCCAGCGCGCCUGCCCCUCCUCGGCCCCAUCCCCACCGUCGGUGUGGCUGUAACCGCGCUGCGGUCAGUCUCGAGCUCGCCCUCGCUCCGCCUCCUCGCCCCGUCACCGCGCGCCAACAACGACAAUAGUGACGCGGUGGGGGCGCCCGACCGCCUAGUGGUGGCGGUCACCUAGCUCUACCGUUCCUCGAUGGCGCGCACCACGGCCGCUUCCUUGUGGCCCAGUCCCCUUCUUCAACGCUCAGCUCGGCCCGCUCGUGCCUGCUGCACGUCUCUUCCACUCCUCGCCGCUCACGCACUUCCUCUUCCUCACCCUCUACUUGGCCCAGUUAGAUGCCGGCAUAACGGACUAACGGAACGGGUCGGCUCGGGUUAUCCGACGUGUCGUUUUACAGGUGGGGUCAGCUAUAUGAAAAACUGUUAGACGGCCUAAACUCGUUACUUUGGGUUCGUUGGUACAUACUGACUGUAAAAUUGUGUUUUUUCAGACAAAUUAGUAAAAGUGGAGGCUUGGUGAGAAGAAUGCCCCGAAAUGUGUGGUUUUGUGAAAUUUAAUCAAGGUAAUAAGAACAUCUCUAGCAGGUUCCCUAAAACUGGUUCUCCUCCGGCAUGUUCUCUAAACUCCAUUCCCUAUUUCCUUUCAUACAUCACAAUGCAACCUGGGACCCACUCGUUAGUGACACAAAUAUACUUUCCUUAUUUCUCUUCUUCCUCCUCUCACCUUCCUCUCAAAUCCCGGUCUCUUGCUACCACCGCCUACAUCGACCACCACCAAGUCCACUAGUGCUUGCUCGCAGGAGGUUGACGAAUGGCCGAAGUCGUCGAAGGGAGGUUGAGCCGAGCAGUCCAGUAAGGCACGGACAUGAUGGUGCUCCUCGACUUGCCGGCGACGAGAAUCGACGGUAGCGUGGCCUUGAUUUGAUGGCGGCAGAGGAUGGGCCGUCGGCCCCAAAACGGGAUUGAGACCUCUCGGGAGCAGGGGAGGUCUCGGAAGAGAUGGUGGUGGCCGGAGAUCACCGACGGCGGCGAUUUAGCGGUGGCCUAGCGAGGUGAUGGGACCGUAAUAUUCUGGUUCGUGGCAAUUUUUCUACCGCGUCAGCUUUUCAUGUUUUAGGGAAUGGGUACUUGGUUCCCUAGAUUUGGGAUCCAUCAUUUGGGCCUAGAAUUCGAGAACACAACUUGUUUGGUUGGCGCGAAAUUGGCCAUAGGAAUUCAGUGUCAAAUUCCAUGGAAUCACACUAUAACUAACCUCAAUUCCUUUCUAAAAUCCAUGUGGUAGACAAACAUGCUUUUUGAACCCAGAAUUCAAAUUCAACCAAAGGAUGGAUGCCAAACGAGCCAUUAGGGAAUUCACUAAAAACAUUAGGGAUUGGGAAUGGGACAGGGAACAUGCCGGAGAGAGUUUUUUGCAACUUUUAGGGAUUGGUGGCUGUAUUUAGGGAUUGGGAACCAUUAUAAGGAACCUGCUAGAGAUGCUCUAAUGUCCACUCUUAUAAGUCUCCAUUCCAAAAUAUAAGGCGUAUUUCAUUUCCUUCGACCAAACCUGUGACCAACAAUUAGUCAUCAUUAUAUGAUAUAAAUUGGUAAAAUUGUAUUCAUAUUAAAAAAAAUACUUCUGGCUAUGAUUUGUAUCACAUAAGUCAUACUCCCUCCUUUUCACAAAGGUUGGCAUAUUCUGUUUCAUUAAGACAAGGUUUGACCAAUGAUAACGACAUUAAUAUGUACUCCCUCUGAUCCAUAUUAGUUGUCGAAAUAUUACAUGUAUCUAGACGCUUUUUAGGCAUAGAUACAUCCAUAUUUGGGCAAAUUUGAGACAAUUAAUAUGGAUCGGAGGGAGUAAUUUAUAUGAUACGAAACCAUAAUUAUUAGCAAGAACUUUUGAAACGAAUCUAUUGAUAUAAAUUUCAUGUAUAAAAACCGCAUAUUAACUUAGUAUUUCUUGGUCAAAGCCUUGUCUUAACAAAACCAAAUACGUCAACUUUUCUGAAAAGGAGUAUGUUAGUGUAGUACUAUUGGUCAAAUGAAACAUAAUACGCCUUAUAUUUUGAGAAUGAGGGAGUAGUUUGUAUGAGAGUGUGUCAUAAUUUGAUAACAUGUGAAUGAUUAGCAUGUGAUGGUGUAUAAAGGCAAUGGUGCCCAAUCUUAAGUUCUUAACUAAGAGCUAGUUUUUUCUCUCUUCUCUACAUAACAAAUUAUCCUAUGUGGCAGAAUUGAUCACGACACCUUUACUCCCUAAUUGCACUGAAAGUUGAAAAUUCUUUUACCACUCCGCUUCAAUUCCCUCUCAUAUUUGUGUUACCAUUUCAGCUUUUUACGUCAGAUUUAGUCCUAUUCAAGGGAAGUUACUUGAUUUUCCUAGGUGCCUUUAAUUCUUCUUCGCAUCUAAUAGGAAUUGAGCCUUGUUCGGGUGCUUUUGGAUGUUUAUUACUCCCUCCGUCCCAUAUUAAGUGCCUUUCUAUUACAUGUAUCUAGACGCUUUUUAGGUAUAGAUACAUCCAUAUUUGAGCAAAUUUGAGUCAUUUAAUAUGAGACGGAGGGAGUACAUCUAUUAGGAAUUGGCCUAGCAUAGGGCAUGCAGAUUGGUUGGAAACGGAAAAGAGUCUUAUCAUCUCAUGGCCCUUUCCCUGUUUUGAUAUUGAAAAUAAAAACAUCUUAUAUGAUAUGAUAUCUCUAUCAAUAAUGUUUACAUGCCUUCAAAAUUACAUGGUGAUUCAAAUUUAUCUAGAAAAUGUGAGCCUAGUAGAUGAUAUAUGGUACAAUGUAGACAAAUAUCUUCUCAUCUGCUCUAAAAGAUGACCCCUUAGUCAAGAGAAGAGAGAUUUAUGGUUUGGUGAGUGGAUGUACAGUCUCACUACUUGGUAAACUUGUUCUUGGUUUAACCUGUUUUUUGGACCCACCCCUGAAAGGUGAAUGGUUUGACAGGUUUGAAUAGGCGGUUUAUAAGAGCUGACGGUCCCCAAUAAGCAGACAACUUAAAGGUAGUUUUCUUUGAAGAGGGAGUGGGGCAUACAACAUCACUAGUAUAGAUCAAAGCAACAAACGACGAGUGGUCCAUCCUUUAACAAAACAUUGUGCUUGCACUGUCUAGCCACUACUGUUGUUUGCACUUUGUGACGAGUUCACCACCAAGACGUUAUGUUUAAAACUGAAACUGUUUGCUGAUUUAGUUCAAUGGCCAAGCCACCAGUUGAGGGAAUCAUUCAACAAGGUAGCCAUGGGGAGAUCAACAACAGUGAUGGCGGCGUCUCUGGUGUCUGAAAGAAGAGCGCCACACCAUGUUUUGCUUUUUGCCGAGCGUAGUUAGUGAGCACGUAAUGUUUUGGGCUUCUCCCCUAAGAGAAUCCUUGGUAGUGUCAAUUGCUUUGAUCCACACAAUAAUUAGGAUCCUUGCUUCACAUAAGGAGAAAACUAACAAAUAAUUACUAUGCAAAGAAAUCACAGCUGUCUUGCACUCUUGCCUGUUUGGAUUGAUUGAAUGAUAUGUUUUUAUUGAGGCAGAAAGAACUAGAAAUAUAGCAGCUAGAAAUGUAUUGUUAGUUGAAUGAUACUAUUAAAUUAUGUAAGAGUAGAAUACGAAGGAUGGAGUAUGGACGUGCUGCUGAGUGUGAAGAUAUAUGGAGGUCGCCGGGAGAUGCUUCAAACUCCCGUGCGAUGCGAGUUUGGUAGUACGGGGAGGAGCAGGAGGAAGUUUGAGAAACACGCGCGCACCCAGGGGAGCUUUCCUGCCUCUUUCAGGAGGGUGGAGUACGAAAAGCGGCGGUGCGAAAGCGGACUGCAGGCAUGCCUAACGGUGACAAAGAUGAAUAGACACACCGAUAGUGGCAAGGAAGCAGCGUGCCGAGAGGAUAAAUGGAAAGAGAGAAAGAUAGGUGGAGGUUGUUAUUUCGAAGCAUACCAUAGCACAUCUCACCGGAGAGAGAGAGGGAGAGGGAGGGGGGGAGAGAGAGGGAGGGAGGGAGGGAGGGAAAACGAUCAACGAUGUGACUUCCGAGAUAAGGGGAGGAUGUGAUGAUGAGGAGGAUGUGGUUCGAACGGGAGCAAAGAGACAGAUCAGCAACUCAGCAUCGGUGGAGCCGAUAGUAGAGCCAAGGAGCACCAUAAGAUAGAAGGAGAAGGAAAAGAUGCAGUUACAUUGCCGAGCAGAAUGUAGCAAUAGUGGAGCUAGUCAGCUAGGGGACAAGAGAGAGAAAGAGGGGGAGAGAACAGAGCUGAGUGAGGGGGGCGAGACUGGAAAGACGAUGUCUUGUUAUGAUUGUGAUAAAAUAUUUCCUCUCCAUACUUAUGUUUUCCAUAACAACACAUGGGGUACCAACUAGUACGAAUUAAAUUAGAGUGUAUUAGAAGGCAAUACGUACAAUUAAGACAGUAUAAGAAUAGUAGUUAUUGGAUGAUAGCAUAACUGGUCCAUAACCAUAGGGACAGCUAAUUAUGAAAUUCAACUAAGAUUUCGGACGAGUCAGAUCAAAAGUAUCCCAACCAACCCGUGCUUUUCAUAUUGGUAUAGAUAAAUAUUGAUAGUUGCGUGUUACUCCACAAGGGAACGUUUUUUUGGUCCUGUUAAUGGAGGCUGAGAAUGUGCUUUCAUUUGCAAGUAUGGGAGUAGUGGCUCUUCUAUUACUUAAGUUACUUCCUCUAGGCAAUAAAUUGUAGAUGAUGUCAUCCAAAUUUUCCCGGAAUUGUUGGUCCACAAAAGACCAACACAAAUGAAAAUUUAGGGGUACUGCUUCAAAAUAGUAUAUUACCAAGCCUAAGAUGUGGACUUCUGACCGGAUUAAAGAAAUUGGAGUCAUUACAGGUUUCUUCCUCAUUUGGUUCACAUGCAUACCGAAGUAUUCAUGUACUUAUCUUUUCAUGACUAAUGAUACGGCUCUUUGGGUAUUUAGAUGCAUGGCCUUGAAAUGUCUCUUCGUGUUAUUGUUUAGGUCUGCUGUAUAUAUGAGCCAGUUUACUGGUGCUUGGAUACAAAGGGAUCCUUAACCAGUUGCACCAAAAAGAACUAACUUUAACUAAGGUGCUGUUCAUGUAAAGAGCAUAAGUUUCCACCUCGGUUAGACAGUCGCCCUACUAGAUUGAGAUAUUAUGGAUCACAACGAAGCCUGCAACGGUGAAUGUGAUUAUGAGUCUGAACUAGAAGAAGGUGAGAUCAAAGAGGAGGAUGAGCCACCUAGAACAGAAAGGCCUAUCCACAGAGGCAUGGCUGCAAGUGUUGUAGAGCUGAUUUCAUAUGGUCAAGAGGUGUUUGAAAAGGAGCAGGUCCAUAUAACACAAUCGGCUUCACCGCAAAAAGCUUCUCAUAAAAGGGAGACUGCAGGUACUGUGGUUGUGCAACAAUCUAAGUAUAGUGAAAUCCACAAGGAUGUGGUUCAAAGUGUUGUAGAGUUGAGCUCGUUUGUGCAAGAUACAAUUGAAAAAGAGCAAUUCGAUAUUAGGCAAUCAACUUCACUUGAAAGAGGUUCCCGUCAAGGAAGAACCACAGGUAUUAUGUUUGUGCAGCCUAAAUGUAGUGCAAUCCAUGAGGACAUGGCUGCAAGUGCUGAACUGUUGAUCACAUCUUCCCAAGGGACCGUUGAGGGGCUAUCAACUUCACCUGAAAGAGGUUCCCACCUUGGAGGGACUGCAAGUACUAAGUAUAUUGCAUCUGAGAGUCGUGAUGUUAAUGUGAGACAGUCAACUUUCCAUAGUACAUGUGGGAACCACCAGCGGAGUAAUUCACGAUCCAUGAAUAUUAGUUCAGAAGAAAGGCAUGAGAAAAGGAAGCAAAAAUGUUUUAAAUACUCUGAUUCCCGAUGGGUCUUGAAGAUGAUUGAGGAAGUUUGUUCGGGAAGAUUCAGUACACUAUUGUUACGGCAGACUGCAGACCGGAAGAAACUCAAAAUUGCGUUUAAGAAGCAGGAGUUAGAAUUCUUCCAAAAGCAGGUACACUGGUAUAAAUUUCAUUAUGCGCAUGUUAUGCCAACAAUAAGAUAUGGCAGAGUGAAGUUGCCGAAGCUACAUAUCAACAUUUUGCAAGACAGAUUUCAUAAACAUAUGAAAUCUCAGCUGAUCAAAUUUGUGAAACAGCAAAUAAGUGAAAGGAACAAGGAGAAUCAAAUAAAAGAGCGCUGGAUAUUUGAGGCUAAAGCUGGCUACCUUAAGAAAUUGUUCAGUGCGAUUUCCUUGUCAUAUCCUGGAUUCAAAUUGGAGAAAUUAGGUUGGCAGAUGACCGACAGUCCGGAUGGCGAUGAGGAUCUCAAAUGUUUCGAAAUGCAAUCUCUAACUACUCAAAUUGAAGCCAUUGCCUCUAAUAGUGAGCCUGAAGGCACAUCCAGUGAUGUUUCUGAGUUCAUUAUAGAAAACUCACCGUCACUGCUCGAAAAAAAUGGGGCUACAAAUCUUGGGUUUUCAGUUUGUGUAGCGGAAGAAAUGUCCAGCUUAGAUAGCAGGUCUUCAAAGUCCACCAAUGCACCCACAAUGGAGUUUGGUGAGAAAAAUGGGGCACAAAUUAUCUUGGCAGCAGCAGAAAAUGAGGGGGAGAACAUCGAGAGAAGCUACGCUUCCCAACUUGACACAAGCGCGGCACUAGAGCCUGUUAUGGCAGUGAAAGCAGGUAAGGCGAGUGAUGUUUCUGAGCCAUUGCCGCUUGAAACAAAUAGAGUUACAGAGCUUGGGUCUUCAGUUGGUGUAUCCAAAGAAAUGGCUACCUUAGAACAUAGUUCUCAGUUAACCUGUGCUCCAGGAAUGGAUUUUGGUGAAAAAGAUGGGUCACAAAUUGCCUUCUCAGCAGCAGCACAAAACGGGAGUGGAAACAUGGAGAGACCUUGUGCUUCUCGGUCUGUCACGAGUGCAGCACUAGAACUUGCUAUGACAGUGACCACUGAUACAGAAAAUGACCCCCCCAUUUCUAAAGAAAAACGAAGGCGCAUAAGUUCAGGCAAUGGUAUUUCAGAAGAUCCAUGUUGUAGGUCACGUAGAAAGUUUGGGGAGAAGGAUGGGACACAAAUCGCCUUCUCACGAGAACCACAAAAUGAACUGGGAAAUCAGGAGAGACCCUCUGCUUCUCGAUCUGUCCAGAAUGCAGCGUUAGAACUUGCUAUGACAGUGAACACUGAUUUAGAUAAUGCUCCCCCCAUUUCUAAAGAAAAGGGAAAGUGCACCAGUCCAGGCAAUGAUAUUUCAGAAGUCCCAUGUUCUAGGUCCCGAAUAGAGUUCCCACACAUGCCUACCUCAAACCUUUGCAGGACAUCAUUGCGUCAAGAGGUAUUUAGCUUGUAUCUUCUAGUUAUAUUGUAAUUUGGUGUUAAUUUAUAUGACAGAUAGGGUUGUUGGCGGCAUGAAUACUUAUGUUGGAGAUAAGUUAACUGAACACUAGCAAGAGUAACUAAUUAUCGACUUAUCAGUAAGGAUAAACAGUGAGCAAGAAAUUUCUUUUUUUGUUUUGCAUGGAAAUGUCAUCUGCUGAGUGUUAAAUAGUUUAAUUUGUAAGUAAUUCAACCACUAUUGAAUGACUAUAAAACUAGAUUCAGAAGAAUUUAUAAGAUGACAUCUUAAUUUAAUUGUGAAUUUCUUAUCAAAUGGUCUCUUGGUGGUAUACAAAUUAUUAAUAGUCUCACGGUCAUUACUAGUGGCAGCUUAUAGAAUGACGUCCAUGGCAUUAUUUCUCUGCAGGAAUCUCCAGCUGCAAGGGCAGAUCUACCGUCAGUUAAUAUUAAUCAAAUGAUGCAAGCUGAGGAUACAGACUGCGAAGAAGUACUUAGUGGUCAAAUUUCUCAUGUGGCCCAAGUUACUGAGCAGCCAAACAUGCACUCUAAUACCGAAAAUGUAUUGAACCAGUACCAUUGUGGUUCUACUUUCCAGGCUGAUGCUAGUCAUCCAUAUCAACAGUCUGGUGGGAAUACUCAUUCAGCAAGGACUGGUGUAGCCAAUCUAGGGGCAUCACAUGUUCAUCCAGCAUCACCCAAUCAGGUGCCAACAGAUUCCACUACUGGGCAAUAUCUGUCUGGAGAUGGGCUUCCAUCAGAUCCAUUUACCAUUGAGUUGAGUCGAUUACAGUCAUUGCAGAAUCUGAUAGCAAAGAGGCAUCAAGAGAAGGUCGCUUUCUUGAAUUACUCUUCUUCUUUCAUAAUUUCUUGUUUCAAAUAGCAUUUGUAUAUAGAUUGCACCGUGUUUAGGUGUUACUCAUCAAUUUCCGUUUGUGUUUGGCCAGCGAGAACAGCUUAUUUUGGCACGUCAAAUAGAGAUCGCUCAAGCUAAAAAGAAGUAUGACGAGCUGGUGUAUAAUUCAGAGGUGGAAGUAUUAGAGAGAAAGAGAGACCUUAAGAUAAUGUGUGAAAAAAUUUACAAACAGCAGAUAUUGGCUGAGGUAUUCCAGGUUAUAUUUAAGGCCUCUGCUAGAGUUAUUCCAGACAGUCCGAGAGGUAAAUAUUGUUCAUACAUCCUAAAUCAGCUUUGUUGAGCUAGGUUGUCACAGUUGCUUUGUUGACAUUGAUAUGCUAUUCUUUGUUGAUUUGUGUAUCAGUUAGUUGCAGGAUUUGAUUAUUUUUAAAAAUUGUGACAACCUAUAAUAACCUGCAAAUGGUAUAAUUGAUAUCGUGUACCGGUUAUUUUCACGGUUUGACAUAUGUCUUCAUUAACAUAGGUUGUCACAAUUUGACAUUUUCGACUCCUAAGAUUGACAGUUUAAUUAAUAUUUGUAACCCCAUGUCUCUGUAAUGUUUUUUCCAAGACCAACAUUUAUCAGUAAGACAUCGGUGGCAGUGCCAAUCUUGGCAUUGGGGAACAUCCAAACUUAACUUUAUUAUACUGAACAAGUUGGUACCUUGUGUCACUCCUGCAAUUAUUCUAUACAAUUAUUAAGUUUCUGGUGAAGUUUGUAUAUGGCUUGGCCAUUUAUGAUGUGCCAUUUGGCUGUGGCAAGAAAAAUAACAUUUGAUGGGAUUCCAAGCUGGCCUUGCUUAGAAUCAGCAUCAAACCACCAUUGGGUUUGAAGCAUUGAAAUCAAUCUUGUAAUUGAAUAGUUUAUUGGCUCAACCUGAUUGUUAUGUAGUGUAUCAUGUUUCAAUAAAUGAAAGAAAGGAAAUUAAAGGAACUUUGGUUACAAUGUACGGACAACUGCUUAGGUUCAAUUUUUGUUUUGAUAAAAAAUCUUGACGUGAUUAUGUUUUGUCAUUAUGGUUGGUCUGAUAUAUCCCUAGCACAUUGGGUGUAUGUGGAGAGAAUACAACCUUCUUGUAACAUUGACAACAUGCUUAAAAAAUGGCAACAUAUGUAUAUAUACAACAUAUAUUUAGUUACUUGCCUUGCACUUUAUUCUCUGUAGUAUAUCAAUCAUGUCACCCAAAAGUACCUCACAUGCAUCAGUUUUAAGAGUUACAUCUACGGAAAAAAUAUCUUUCCAUAUGUGGCAGCAUGAUAUGGAGGAAAAUAACCAGAAGAAGGCAAUUUACAUGGAUGCAACUUUUUUACUAAAUCUAUUUCGAUAAUCAACAAUUUAGAUCUGCUACUCCCUCUUAGGUGGUAGUUGGAGCGUCCAAAAAGUGCUCAUCAAUGAAUAUUUGGGCAUUUAGCUGAACAAGAAAAUUUUACUUACAAUAACUAGAUUUGUCUGCAUGGCACCAUCUGAUUUGUUUUCAUACGUGCAGUAACAUGUUUACUUAUACAGUCAUGUUGAUGUAUUCCUUCAUGUGUCAAGUGCAGCCCAAAAAAUGGUGGUGGAGCCUAAUUGUCCGUCGGAGCAGCAUAAUUUCCAGUUUCCUGCAUCUGUUUCAGCUCGUGCAUCAACAGCCAUGUGCCUGUCACGGCAAUUGUCUGUGCAACCAUCGAUAGAAGCCUCCCUCAGACAGCACUGUGUGACCACGCAACAUACUACUAUGGACACCUUUGGUAGAUCCACUACUACCUCGAUGCCUAAUCCAAGUGGUGGCAUGGGUAAUGGACUUGCAUACCAUAGACGGGCACCUCUUCUACAUUCAUUUGUAAAUACGCCGCCAGCAUCCGUUCUCCGUCAUGGAUCUGCAAACCUGGAGGAAUAGCCGCAUUGGUUGCCCUUCAAAGAACCUGUGAGGCCUGUAGGCGUACCAUUAGAGUUCACGUGUAGGUAUCAUUCAGAAGUCGAGCUUCCUUUUUAGUCUUGCGGACAUUUUUUUUUCAGUCUUCUCUCUAGCUGGUGGCAGAUUAGCCUGUCAUGUCUGUUGAUGUUAAAAUCUGCGUUUAACAUCUUACCUCUAAACCUGUUUCAUUUAUGAUUGCAGCUUGCUGGUCAGGGGAUUUCUGUUUCACACCGGACUGCCGGACGCAGCAUGCCAUGUGCACAGCAAAAGUCUCAAAUUUUGAUUACUUCUUUCUUGAUUUGCUUUUCUGGUUGUAGGUUUGUAAGGCUGGCAUGUAGAUUACCCACUUGAGUGAUCUUCUAAUACACAAUGAAGCGCGUUUAGAUGCGUGCCUUCAUUGUCUGGAACUAGAAGCUAUGCUAGAUAGCUUAAUGGAACUAGAAGUCACUAGGCAGAUCGUUGUCUGGUGCAAACAUUACCAUCAAAUGUGCUAAUCUGUUAAUGCCUGCCUUCAUCAUGACUGAAUGCUGACGCAGGGUAGGUUGAGAGUCUGAUUCAGCAAUACUUGUCACUUGAGCUGCAACUCUGGGAAACUAACAUUAAAAGCUCUAGGCUCUAGCUCCUUUUCAGUUAUUUGUGCGAAUCAUUUACUAGAUUCGUAGAAGUUAUAAGUUCUUCGUCAAUGUUCUGAUUGCCGGGGAUAUUAGGGUAUUGUUUGUUAUUGUACAAAUAUGAUUUGUUAGGAUUGAUUGUUAUAUACUCUUUCCGUCCCAUAAUUCUUGUCGAAAUAUUACAUGUAUUCAGACGCUUUUUAAGAAUAUAUACAUCUAUUUUUGGACAAAUUUGAGACAAAAAUUAUGGAAUAGACGAAGUCUAUGAUACGAUUCGGUCUUAUCUCUAGGAGAUUAUACUGUACUCCAAGCCAUGUGCUCUGCACAAACCGCCCGCUUCGUAGAAUACAAAGCACAUAAUGCAAGUUCUCAUCUCUGACACAUUCGCUACCGGCCACAUUUUUUAGUCUCCUACAUUGUAGCGUCACACGCGAGGCUAGUACCCUGGUCCCUCGAAGACGUCUUCGUCUUUCAACGAAGCCCUCGAGUUUGUGCUGAUGGUGGCAGGCAUUGGCGACUGGCACCAGUGGGAAGUCGGCCACGCUCGACUCGCACCGCUCGUCGCCCCCACUAGCUGAGCCACAGCCACUCCAGUGGGCAUAGGUUGGUAGCCGCAAGUGAGACUUGACAAAAAAAAUCAUAUAUUAGUACUAGCUUUUCUGAAAGAAAAAAAAUAAACUCUACAUUCUAAAUAUAAGAUGUCCUACGAUCUGUCCUUCCAACCUUUUCAAGUUAUCAAAAGUAUAUCUGAAUACAUAUAUAAUGAAAUAUUUGAUAAAACUAAUUUAGAGUUGUAAACGUUGGUAAAAAAUUUUAUAAACUUGGUCAAACUUAAUAAUAUUGACGUUAAGUUGACUUAGAACAAAGUAGUAGAACGUAAGCAAUCCAUGUGUAGAAACUUAUCCAUGUAAUUUCGUAAAACAUAAUCAUUUGUGAUCUAUGCGAAAACCACACAUGAGUCACAAAUGAAGUUGCUACAAUACAAAUUAUGAACUUGUUAUGUUUUAAAUUUUGCACAACUGUAAACAUCAUUUUAUUAACAAAAUUUACAAGGCUAAGUUUAUUUCUAUCUAGGCAAAAUAUCAUGAGAAAAUCAUCUCUACGGUGCAAAUUCCGUAGGAACCAUGUUUAGAAGUUUCAAAAACAUCAUAAAACAACAUGUGAAGGCGUGAUGCUCUACAAACAAGCAAAAUUUCAAGUCGAAACUCAAAUGCAUUUGUAAGGAAUUAAAAAGAGAAAUAUACAAAUAAAUAGUGGCAAAUGAUGAAAAUUUGUUUUUUCCGUUGCUACUAAACGCAAUUGUGUUUGGACACAGUCAAAUUUCGACCAGCCACUUCAACCGUCGGAAGAAGGACCGGCGACAGCUCAUAGACUAGCAUAACAACAUAGUAUUUGUGUGUUGUUCAAUAUUAAAUAAAUAAGAUACAUGUUUUAAAGAAAAUGUGAUGUCCUAGGUCGAAUAAGGUUGUUAUCUGAUUAAUAGCAGGCACGGGUGAGGGGUUGUCUGGUUUCUGUCUGAAGCCCGUGUGUCUGGCCUGAAGAAAGCCUAUGAGCAGCCUGUAAGUUGUUUGUAUAGCACCCUGAAAAUAUGCCUCGCUCAGGGCACCAAAAACGAACGCUUGAGCGUGCGUGCUGUUUCCAAGUAACCGUGUCUGAGAUUCUACUACUAUCUUCAAGUCAGGCAUAUGCUUUGGAAUAGUUCAAACUGGAAUAGUUCAAACCAAACAACAAUUUUCAUACGUGUCUGGGCAGGCAAAAAAAAAUUAAAUUCUCAGGCAUCUUCCAUGCAUCACAUUUUGUGAAGCACUUAGCUAAGGUCUCUAACCAAACAGCUCCUGAAUACGACGGACCACCGCCACCCCAUGUGUUGCUAUUUGUUACGAACUAAAAAUCAUAUGUCUAACAAAAUGUUGUACUAUUAUUUACUCCUCCCUCCGUCUAACAAAAGAUGUCUCAAAUUUGUCAAAAUUUGAAUGUAUCUAGACAUGACUUAGUGUAUAAAUGCAUUCAAAUUUACUCAAAGUUGAGACAUCCUUUGUUGGACGGAGGAAGUAUUUAGAUUGUAUUGAGUCAAAUUACACUUUCAUCUUUUUUUUUUCCGGGUAAAUCACACUUUCAUCUUAAUGAUUUGUGUCAAAUCAACAUGUGACAAAAGAAUUCAUACGUCAAAUACACGAUGGGAUAUGACAUUAAUUGAGUCUUUUAUAAGAUGAGUUAAAAAAAGUUAGACUAAACUUCCUUCUUUUCAUCUGAUAUUCCAACCUCUGCUGUCCAGACUUCUACCGCGAGUCCGCGACACGUGGUCACCCGUGGAAGAGAGAUUUCCUAUACAAAACUGCACAUCCAUGUCUAGCUGAUUUACCUCUGUAUGUACGUCGUUGGCAUGCAGAUUUUGGUCCGGCAUUGCCUAAGUUAUUCCAGACGAAGCUAUCGCACAACACUUUUCUGGGUGGAAGAGAGCCAGCAUCUUUGAACACAUGUUUUUACUUUUUACUCAUACUGGUGGGGGAACCUUUUCUUCUCGAGAAAACGUAACUACGCUAACUAAUUCUGCGUCUAUUUUCAUAUCACUAGAGGUCUAGAGUCAUUUCCUGGCAAAGCCGCCAAGGUCCCUGAAUUCUGUUGAUCUACCUGCUCAGGCCAUCAGUUUCGCUUUUUUUGCUGUGGCGUUGAGAACAGACAGUGACGCGCAGGCUACUCGAGUGCAAUGGUGCGUCUCAAUCAUCGUUGCUGGACACAUAUACCUUCUUCAAUCGCUAGCCGAAUUUGUCGUCAGUUGUAUCAUUGAACGUGUUCUACAUCUAUCAUCUUCGGCUGCACGCCAACUUGUGAAGUAAGUGGUCUCCAUGCCCCUGCACUUGAUUUCCACCAACCAUCGUCUAGCUACGUAAAUAUAUAGUCGCCUUUUCUUCGACCAAAUAAUCAUUAUACAGUCCGUAAUUUACCUACAGGCUGCAGUCAGAAAACUGAAUUAAUAAAGUUGAAACGACAUUACGAGACUUGAUCGAUUGUUUAACUAGCGUUCAAAUUCAGGGUUGGACCAAAAUAUUUUUGGGUCAGAUUGUGUCAUCGAAAAUUCUAGUAAGAAGGGUGGGUAAAAGAAGAUGGAAUUUUGAAAGGAAUGUAGAAGUUAGAUGGGUAUCAAAGACUUUAUGUAGAAUAUAUCCGUGACCUUAUCUGAAUGUUUGGUGAGAAGAGAGAGCAUGCACGCACGGUUGAACUGAACAAAUUUGUCGUGGGCUACUACUACUACUAGCUUUCUUUUUACAAUGGAUUGGCUACUACCACACCUGACUGACCACUAGUGCAGUAGUUGGAACCAACUUUCAAUACUAGUUAAGCAAUAGCCAUCUGAGCUUUAGGUCAACUAUGAGAUGGAUCUCCAUGUCUCACCAACCUCGCGAGAGGUGCACCUCAUCUGAUCCUGACCGGUGACAAAGAGUAGUUCUUGUAGUUGUGUGGUACUAAAGGUGAAAAUAAGAUCAACAUGCCGUCCUGGUUUUGCUUAGCUAUCUGAAGAAGCAAGGGAGAAACAGUCCCCUGAUUCAGAGAUGGGGGCCAUUUAAGAUUUCCUUGCUUUAUUGGUGAUUUACUGCUCUGAUUAUUAUUUUUCCUCCAUAACCAUAACCGAAGGAAAGAAGUAAUGAACCUGUGACCUGUCCUCUGCUGCUUAAUGUUCUUGGUUAGUGAUACGAUCCGGCUUUGCGGCGAGAUCAAGGAACAUGAUGCUGCUAGCUAACGACCCCGAGAUGGAAACUAAAUGGGGGCACAUGGUACACCUAAUUUAAGCAUACGCAUCAUUGCACCAAUCAGUAAUCAGGAGCACCAAGUGGUCUGUAUAGAUCUCUCAGACAGACGACUAGCAUAAUUUGUUGUUAGAAGUUUUAUAACGUUCAACUACCAGAUAUAAAUAAAAUUAGGAAAGCACUACUGAUUUUACCCUUUGUAACUCAUUUUCAUUGAACCAAACUAAUGUUUCGAUCGCACACAAAUAAUAAUUUCAUGGCACAAGAUUAGUUACGCCGAAACAAUUCGGGAAGUAAUGUUUCAUCUUACAUUUACUAUGUUGCACAUAUAAAGAAACAACAGCCCCACAUUAGUGUGAAGUUUAGGGUCACGGUACGUAGUCGAUCCUAUGCAAGGACCACACUAUCGAUCCCCAGGUUUUCCCACAAAAUUAUCCUUGUAGAAAUCUCCGUGACCUCUGAAUUCAUUUGCAUACUCCUAUCACUUGUCAAAAGAAGACUUUCAUAAUUAAUUAAGGAUAGUCUAGUCUUAAAUCUAAGUCUUGUGUCAAUGUCCAACCUCAACCUCACUCUUUUGCUAAAUUGCACACUUUCCGCAAGGCAAUGAUAAGCUCGAUAAUAUGGACUUUCAAGUCGCUGAGAUUGAUGAAUCCUUCAGCCAACAAAGAAAUAGCAAAACUGAUAAACUUAAGGCCUAUUAUCUUAAGUCAAAUUAAGUAGUAUAUAUUUUGUAUUCAGUUCCACAGACACAAGCACACUGAUGAUGGUAGUGCCAUGCCAUGUUGCCACUUGGCAAUAUUGUUUCUUGUCAAUUUAGCCAUCGGUCAACUACAUAAAACAGUAGAGUCCCGCAUCUUAAUUGGCCGUACAUGAAUAAUGUUUCUUAAUUUCUGUCUGAUUGAAGGGGCAAUUCUUUCUUUAGGGGUUACACUUCAUAAGAAUCCAUGGGUGGAUGCACAUGGCAUACUUAUCUUCGGUCUUACACUUCUUUUUCAGUUGGAAUGAUUGAUAACAAGGAACCUCUAGAUAAUGCUCUUUGUGUACCAUUAGCUGUCUUUAAGUGUAUGACUUCUAUGUAUCCUCCAUUAAUGGCCAUGCCACUAAGCCACUGACACCUCUGUUUCUUGUAGGUCUUGUAAUACUCCCUCUGCUAUAUAUGAUGUACAUUUAAGCCAAGUUAAUCAUUCUACUGCAGAGGGAUCCCCUGACUUAAAGUAAAUGACUUCAUUCUACUUUUACGUUUCCUAAAACAGUUUUAAUCGUACCAUUGUCUUGCGUGAGGGGUUGUGGAGCUGAGAAAAGACAAGAGGAAGUUGAGUGAGUGGUUUAAUUGCAUGGAAAUAUAAAAAGAAAUGCCAAGUGGCACUUUGUUUCCCUAACUCUUUUUUUUGCGGGUAUUUGUUUCCCUAACUUACUGUGUCCUAAAAAAGACUGCAGAUACAAGUAAAAAGAAAUAGAGAGCUAGUAAGUGGUUUUCUUAGAACAACGCUAUAUAAGCAUUAUAUAUAUCUUACUGGUCGAAGUCUUCACUCUUCAGAUAUGUUUGUAAUCAAGUUAUCGAUUAUUAAGUUAUUGAAGUUUAGCUGGAACUGCCUGCCUCAAAACUUGGUCAGAAUAACAGGUCAUACUGUUGGCGAAACCUCAAGCAGGAUGCCGUCGUUAGGUUGUUUUGAGUUUAUCCUCUGAGUCUCUGACUAGUACCUCUUGUUAUUGUCUGCAAGCAAGCUGUGGUUGGUAGAUUCAUAUAGAAACAUUGUGUUGUUUUCAGUGUUUCCUGGGGGCCCUGUACUGGCAUCACGCUUGUUCUCGCUGAAAGAAUAGCGUAAGUUUGAUAACAAGAUGAGAGAAUGCAACAGAAGCUGUGGGCCGAUGUGUUCAGAUAGAAUUGUAAGAUGCCAUAUUAAUUUACCGUCCAUGUGAUCAUAUCUAAAUCCAAAAACAUUGUUUACUCCCAGUCCCAUGUUCGUUGAAUUUCUCGGGAUCCAAGCUCUCGUCUUCCUUCUAUUCAGACACUGACACUAGCCUCAUUUUAUACCAACCCUUUUUUCAGUGCCAUUAAUUUUCUUUUAUUCAUAUCUAAAAAAAUUAUAUUAUGGUGCGGGGUAGCAACCGUGGUAGGUAAACAAAGCAGCAAAGUUGUUGAUAUCCGUUAGGUUGCCACCUCACCUGCUAUAAUUUCCAGACAAAAGUUUUUUUUCCUGAACAAAGCUGUGUCCGGUCUAAUACGCCAGCAGUUAGCGGAUUAGACUGUCAGUACGUCAGUGGGGAAAAAAUCGAAUACAGGUCUGGCGAACUGAAAUAAAUCUCAUCGCCAACAGUUAGCGGAUUGGAACAUCAGCACAUCGCUUGUACGUCACAGAAGUCUCGUAUGCAGGUCAGGUAUUACUUGCUGAUGGAUCAGCCUAACUGAAGUCUGGAUUAAUUUUAGUCCAAACUCAUGGAAAACUGCGACUAUUCAGUUCCAAAUACUGCAGUGACCACACCAAAACAGCGAGUCAAGUUUCUGCCUCUGAUUGGUACCCGAGAGCGAAAUUUCCAAGCGACUAGAAUUAUUUCUCGUCAAGCUGUUGUCGCGUGUGGUAGGUAAGAGUGUCGAGCUCAUGGACAAUUGGCUUCUUCGCAAUCCAUUUUGCCUUUGUGCUUGCCCACUACUAGCAAUCAUCCGUCACUAUAACAACUUGAGCAAGGACUUUUUGAAUGUUUAAGUGUUUAACUGCACUAGUAGGUCAUAGACUAUCAGACAGAACUGUUUCUGCUACAGUUUAAGGAUGAAUCUUUCUAGCCAAGUGGUUGAAGUGACGUUACUACUGUUCACUGAUUUAGAAGCUUCAAUCCUUUAAGCAUGGGUGUGUUAGAAUAAUCUUGUUGUACGAGUUCGUUUAGGACUGGUCCAUCCUGAGUUCGAGUAGUAGCACUAGUACGAGUCUAAUUAGUUUUGCACAUUAAGUCCUAGUCCUACUAGGAUUAGAUGAUUUUGUGUGUAUAUAUAGAUGCGCCAGGGUCAGUUUUUGUAACGUGGGAUUUGAGAUAUUGAGAAGAAAUAAAAAGAGAGGUACGACAGGUGGCUCUAGCCAAAUAAAUUUCCGAUCGUGUGCGUCUUCAUGUGACUGAUCUUUGGGCAAACCCAACAUUUGGUAUCAGAGCGAGGUUCAAGAUUCGAAGAUGCGCUUGCCCCGGGGAGGCGAUGUGCUAGCGCCUCGGGGCGGGCAAUCAGCGGCGGAGCGGUGUCCGCGGAUAAGAGCGGGCAAACGGUGGCAGUACGCGGAGAGGCGUUUAGCGGAUUGGAUCGGGCAAUUUCUGGCUGUGCAGUGGAGCGACGUUCAGCAGAUCAGAUAGGACUAUCGUCCCAGUGGACCGAUCUCCUAGUAACGGGAGAUCAUCUUGAUCGUCGGAAAGUACUCGACAUCGGGUCAAGCUGCAUAUGUACAUCCAGGUCAGCGUCUGUGAGUCGUGGUUGUGUCCAAGUGCUCGUCUGUGUGGGACUCUGUUGCAGCCGAAGUACGUCACGGUCGAAGGGCUGUCCGGUGAGGUGUAUCACUGAGGGCGAAGACGUGCGUGCAGACAAGGUGGCGGGUGUCAUUUGUGUGUCUCGACGAGAAGACGGAAGCUCAAACGUAUAGUGGGGCGGUGUACCAGUGAAGGUGAGUCUCUUCAAUGAGGACAUAUCUCUACGUGGAGUUAUGGGUUUAGCUAGCACGUAUUGCGCUAGAUGUGGACGGUGUAGUCCAUGCGGGAGCUAGCGUGACUGGGAGUCUGGAUCAUACGUUGAGUAUAGUCAACAAGUCGUGAAGCUGCGGAGAGUCAAGUUCAGGGGGAGCACGAGGAGACGGCAAGUCAAGAUUAGGGGAAGAUUGUUAGAAUAAUCCUAUUGUAUGAGUCCGUUUAGGACUGAUCCGUCCUGAGUUCGAGUAGUAGCACUAGUACGAGUCUAAUUAGCUUUGCACAUUAAGUCCUAGUCCUAUUAGAAUUAGGUGAUUUUGGAUGUAUAUAUAGAUGCACCAGGGUCAGGUUUUGUAACGUGGGAUUUGAGAUAUUGAGAAGAAAUAAAAAAAGAGGCAUGACAGGUGGCUAUGGCCAAAUAAAUUCCCGAUCGUGUGCGUCUUCAUGUGACUGAUCUUUGGACAAACCCAACACGGUGAAAAUGAAAGUCAUCUGUGCUGUGGCUAAAAAAAAAGGCUCUCUCCAAUUAUAAGCACUGCGUAUUCAGAGCGAGACAAAUGGUAUAUAUAUAUAUUGUAUUAUAGGAGCAAAACAUUCUAGUAUUACAGGGGACAAUGGAAAAGAAGCAAUAAUCGAGUAGCAUACUUCACCCCAAAAUACAAGGACAAUAUAUCUUAGCAAAAGCUGCCCGGCGGCCAAGGCGCGCGCAUUGCAGGCGAUGGCAGAGCAGCUGUACACAAUGAACAACAAAGGGCAGGCGCCACACCAACAAAAGAAGCGACAGGAUCUGAAAAGAACGACAUACACGAGCUUAACCGUCUUAUUUUCGGACUUGUAAUUUUGUAGCCUCCUCUUCUUCCUCCCUCGACCGAUGGAUACGGGCCAAUGGACGGUCUAGACGACGUUGAUGGGCAGGGGCUCGCCGUUCCACUCCUUGAGGCACUCGAGCAUGGGGUCGAUGAGCUUCCCCUGGCUGAUGCCGAUGAACACCUUGUUGCACUCCUCUCCGGGGGACAGGAGCUUCUCGCCGGUGAGGUACACGCAGCCGAGCUCCUCGCGGACGAAGCGGUACAGCGGGAACGACCUGCUGUCCUUGAUCAGGUUGGGGAUGGGCGCCGUGCCCUUCUCGAACGCCACCCGCGCGGCCUCGAUCUCCCGCGGCAGCGCCGCCCUCAGCUCCUCCUCGAACUUGUUGAUCUUGGAGAACACCGUGGCCUCGCUCUCGCCGGCGUUGUCGACGCCGCUGCUGGUGAGCGCGUGGUCGACGAGCACGGCGCGCAGCUUCUGCAUCAGCGGGUAGUUGGCGCUGCAGGCGUCGUCGGCGUAGCUGAACACGGCCUCGCGGUCGAUGGCGGUCAGGAGGCUCUUCUCGCUGAACCGCGCGCUGGAGAGGUCCCCCGUGGGGUUCAUGGUGAGAACCUUCUUGGACACCUGCGUGACGCAGUUCUUCACGGAGGCCUUGAUAUUCUCCUCCAGGUGGCGGAGGUCCACGGCCUGGCAGAGCGCCACCAUGUAGGUGGAGGACAUGAGCUUGAGGAUGUCCACGGCCUCGGCGGUCUUCCUGGCGGACACGAGGCCCAGGGAGUUCACGUCCUGGUUGUGCUGCUCCGCGCUCUGCACGUGGUUGGUCACCGGGUUGGCCAGGUACUGGAGCUCCGAGCAGUAGGAAGCCAUGGCGAUCUCGGUCCCCUUGAAACCGUAGUCCAGGCUCGGGUUGCGGCUCCCCGCCAGGUUGGAGGUCAGCCCGUUGUUGUAGAACUCGUUGACGAGCUCCGAGAACUGCGCGAACAUGAGCUUGCCGAUGUUGGCGAUGGCGAGGCGGGUGUUGUCCAUGGACACCCCGAUGGGGGUGCCCUGGAAGUUGCCGCCGUGGAGCGCCUUGCCACGGUGGACGUCGAUGACGGGGUUGUCGUUGACCGAGUUGACCUCGCGCUCGAUGGACUUUGUGGCCGACCGGAUGACCUCGAUCUGGGGGCCCAGCCACUGCGGCGACGUGCGGAGCGCGUACCUGUCCUGCUUCGGCUUCAGCUGCGGGUCGAUCUCGUUGACCUUCUUGGCGUGGCUCAUGAAGGAGCUCCCAGCCAGGAUGUGCUCCAUGAUGGCCGCGGCCUCGAUGGAGCCAGGGUGGUGCUUCAGCUUGUGUGUCAAAUGGUCAGUGAACUCCGGCUUGCCGUUCAUCACCUCGCAGAACACGGCUGACAGAACCUCAGAGAGGACAGCGAGGACAUUGCAGUCAAACAGCACGGUGGCCGCGAGCGCAGAGCCCACGGAGGUGCCAUUGACGAUGGCGAGGCCUUCCUUGGGGUUGAGCGUGAAGAAGCCGCCCUCGAUGCCGGCGACCUUGAAGGCCUCGGCGGCGUCCACCUUCCUGCCGUCGGCGGUGGUGGCCUGCGCGUUGGGCCGCCCCGUGAUGAGGCCCGCGAUGUAAGAGAGCGGGACCAGGUCGCCGGAGGCCGUGAUGGUGCCCCGGAGCGGCAGGCAGGGGCUGACGCCCGUGUUGAGGAGCUUGGUGAUGGCCUCCAGGAUCUCGAACCGGAUGCCGGAGUAGCCCUGGAGAAGGGUGUUGAUGCGCACCAGCAUGGCCGCACGGGUCACCUCCGCCGGCAGCGAGUGGCCGUCGGAGCCUGUGCCGAAGAUCCCGGCGUUCAGAUGCCUGUGGAGGCGACAACGACGUCGUGCAUGCGCAUGGUUCGUUAGUGGAUAAACUUCCAACAAUAUCCAAGUUGCAACUAAAGAAACAGAUAACAAAAAUUGACAACGCCGGUACUAGAACUAGCUAUUGGUUCCUGUCCUCUGUUGCAUUUCCCAUCAGGAUUUAGUAACCAGAAUUUACAGAGUUAUUUUGGUUUUGGGUUGGACCACUCGUGCUCCCCACUAACUGCCUCCCUGGCACUGACAUGAUGAAACAUCUAAAAGAGUAAUUUUCUCGAAUGUCAGCAGAACAGAUCUAGAGAUGCAUUGUUUCCGAUCUAAGUGUGCCAGUGCGCGCACCACAACGUCUACUUCAUCACCGUAAUUACAAUCUUUUUCUACUUCCAGCUCACACAUCACACUGAGUUCCCCAUGCAUGCACUCACUGCAUGCCGACUCAUGCGUGUCUCAUUCAUGGCCUUUUCACCGGGCACAGGCAGCCGUGUGCUACGCGUGACUCGUUUUUUUCCGGGAAGCAUGCAAGUAGCAUGUAGAUCGAUGUAGGAGUGCCCGGUGCGGCCGGCUGAGAGGCACGCGACAAAUGCCAGCCGUGAGACUGAGACAAAAUUCUCGCCUCGGCAACGGCACGGUGCAGAUCCGACCAGUACGUACAUCUGACCGGCCGUUCAUUUUCACUACUCCUCCUGCGUCUCCCAUUCUGUGCCGCCUCCUAAUUCGACUUGUCGCCAUCCAGAGCGUGGCACGCAGUUUAAUGCUUACCUGUCAGUCGUCUAUGCGGUGACGUACAGGGCUGCAUGAGGUACAUGCAUCUACGGAUGUGUGACGAUGUAUUUAUUUUGUUACCCUUUUUUUGUCAUGCUUCUUCUUUCCACUGAUGUACUUGCUACAGCACAUGAAUCUCAACGAAGCAUCGGCCAGGCAAAACAUAAGUUAAGCUUUCCUAGUCCGACUGGUAGAUGGACCCACGUACGGAUCGAUGGAGCCAGCAAGUACUACUAACAAACAGUUGAACAGCGUAUAUAUAUGGAUCUGGACGCUAAUAAUCAACGUGAUUAGUUAAGGUACUACUGUAAAACAAACUUUUGCGGGGGGGGUUUGAUGAGUAAAUUGUAUUAUUACCUGAGGAGCUCGACCUGGAGGGCGGGCCCGUCCUUGGUGCGGCGGUGGGAGGUGCCGCCGAAGCCGGUGGUGACGCCGUAGAUGUCGCCGCCGGCGGCGAGGCAGCUGAGGAUCCACUCGCUGCUGGCCUUGACGCGGGGGCGCGCCUCCUCGUCGAGCUCCACGGAGACACCGGCGGCGUCCUUUGCCUGGGCCACGGCGGCCACCUGGCCCACGCGGAGGCUGGCCCCCUCGAUCUUCACCACGGGCUCCCGGAACUGGGCCACCAUCCGCUUCACCUCGUCCAGGUGGCUGCCCGUCAGCUCCGCCGCCGCCGCGCCCCAGUUCAGCGGGUCCUUCUCCGAGAUGGCUCCGUUGCCCGCCAUUAUAUUGAUCGGUCGGUGGCUAAAAUUGAAGGGUUGA